This 253-nucleotide ribosomal RNA is filed under the name uncultured bacterium. RNAcentral describes it as "partial 16S ribosomal RNA". It matches the Rfam family "Bacterial small subunit ribosomal RNA", at positions 524 to 776 of the family's 1533-position model. The record is from RNAcentral.
UACGUAGGUGGCGAGCGUUGUCCGGAUUUAUUGGGUUUAAAGGGUGCGUAGGCGUCCUGACAAGUUUUAGGUGAAAUGCCCAGGCUCAACCUGGGAGCUGCCUGAAAAACUGUUGGGAUUGAGUACAGACGAGGUAGGCGGAAUUGACGGUGUAGCGGUGAAAUGCAUAGAUAUCGUCAGGAACACCAAUAGCGUAGGCAGCUUACUAGACUGUAACUGACGCUGAGGCACGAAAGUGUGGGGAUCAAACAGG